GUAGUGUAAUCUCAGUCAAAUCUUGAAGACUCUUUGGAUGUCAGUCCCAUAUGCUCAAAUUCAAAGGCCCAAACAAAUUCCUUCACUAAUCAAAAGUACAUUGUAAAUAGAUGUGUGAUUGUCAAGUAUGGGGAAAUAUUCUAUCCAGGAGUUGUGAUAGAAGUCCUGGAUGAUCAGCGCAGAAAUAAUUUUUAAGCAAGGCACAGAAAUAAGAAAUAUAUUUGUAUAUCCAGAAGUGCAGGACAUACAGUUAGUGUAUGCAGACAUGAUUGUUACUGAAGUGAUGUUGAUACCAAAUGGCAAUAGUUUGAGAGUGGAAUGUUUUGAUUUCUGAAUUUGUCAAAUAAAAUUUGUGUACAGUUUUA
Long non-coding RNA from Biomphalaria glabrata, 365 nucleotides. RefSeq lists it as uncharacterized. The transcript is spliced from 3 exons. NCBI's taxonomy places the organism in Eukaryota, Metazoa, Mollusca, Gastropoda, Planorbidae. The record is from RefSeq and is a predicted model, not a curated record.